GACGAACGCUGGCGGCGUGCUUAACACAUGCAAGUCGAACGGACAGGCCCUGCUUGCAGGGUACUCGAGUGGCGAACGGGUGAGUCACACGUGGGUGAUCUGCCCUGCACUUCGGGAUAAGCCUGGGAAACUGGGUCUACUACCGGAUAGGAGCCUUAUUUAGUGUGAUGGUUGGAAAGUUUUUUCGGUGUGGUAUGAGCUCGCGGCCUAUCAGCUUGUUGGUGGGGUUAUGGCCUACCAAGGCGGCGACGGGUAGCAGGGCCGGGAGGGUGGGCAGGCACAGUGAGACUGGGAUACAGACCAGACCCCGACGGGAGGGAGAGGCGGGGAAGGGGGCUCAAGGGGCGUGAGCCAGAGGCAGAGGCGCCGCGUGGGGGAGGACGGUCUUGGGGUUAGAAACGCAAUUCGCUAGGGACGAAGCUGUUUGUGACGGUACCUAGAGAAGAAGCACCGGCUAACUACGUG
RNAcentral lists this ribosomal RNA (465 nucleotides) under uncultured bacterium. RNAcentral's name for it is "partial 16S ribosomal RNA". It matches the Rfam family "Bacterial small subunit ribosomal RNA", at positions 28 to 507 of the family's 1533-position model. The record is from RNAcentral.